Molecule: unclassified non-coding RNA, 323 nt
Filed under: soil metagenome
Description: partial contains 5.8S ribosomal RNA, internal transcribed spacer 2, and large subunit ribosomal RNA
Rfam family: 5.8S ribosomal RNA (bases 1-120)
Source: RNAcentral
GAUGAAGAACGUAGCGAAAUGCGAUAAGUAAUGCGAAUUGCAGAAUUCAGUGAGUCAUCGAAUCUUUGAACGCACAUUGCGCCCUGUGGUAUUCCGCAGGGCAUGCCUGUUCGAGCGUCAUUUCAACCCUCAAGCUCUGCUUGGUGUUGGGCCCUGCCCGCUGCGGCCGGCCCUAAAGACAGUGGCGGUGCCGCCUGGCCCUGAGCGUAGUACAUCUCUCGCUCCAGUGCCCGGUGGUAGCCUGCCAGAACCCCAACUCUCGUGGUUGACCUCGGAUCAGGUAGGGAUACCCGCUGAACUUGAGCAUAUCAAUAAGCGGAGGA